This is a long non-coding RNA of Acanthochromis polyacanthus (spiny chromis), 1211 nucleotides long. RefSeq lists it as uncharacterized. NCBI's taxonomy places the organism in Eukaryota, Metazoa, Chordata, Actinopteri, Pomacentridae. The record is from RefSeq and is a predicted model, not a curated record. The transcript is spliced from 4 exons.
GUUUCUCUCCUCAGAUGCCUCCUGCCUUACCUAAGAGGGCUGCUGGACUUCCUGCCAGCCAACCUCCAGGUAAGAAGGUUCACAAACCUUUCAUUUCAUUAAAUUUACCCCGUUUUGUUUUAAACAUUUUAGCUACGUGUGAUUUUCUGGAUGUGAUCUGGUCAGUUUUUAUUUGAAUGAAUCUCUUGUGAUUAUGUCUGAUCAGAUCUAUUCCAACUUUAUUUGGAUGAAUUUUCUUCGACUGUAUUUUGUGUGAUUCUGUCUGAGCUCGGUUCUUGUCGGUGGGACUCUUGUCAGGGUGCCCGUCAGAGGUGUGGGCGGAUCUGGGGGGCAUUGUGGGAAACCUCCUGUGGUGCCCCCCCUCACAGUGAAGCUCCGCUCUGUCAGAAGGUGAACAGGAUGCAGACGGCAUGUCACAGAGAAGCAACAUGUGCGUCUGUAUCCCACCCUGGACCCACAGUGGAGUCCACAGUGACAAGAUCACAGUUCAGGAGAGUCACACUGGGAUUAAAAGGGGUGGUUAAAUGUGUUAUUUAAGAUAGUAAGUGUAGUGUGAGGGUGAAAGUCUCGCUGCCAGAGGGAAGUUUCCAGGAGAGGUACGUAAGGAUCCCUGUGAAUGCUGCUGCAUGAAACGGUGAGUUUUGGAUUUUGACUUUGCAUUCAUAUAUCUAAUAUUUUUGAAAUCUCAACAAUAACACACGUCGACAAGAUUCUGCCGCGUUUUUCUUUUUGAUUUCUUUCAGACUGAUGAUCUCGGGACCCAAGACCAAGACAAGGACGACCCCAAAGACGAUUUGAAGACGAGUGACCGAGCCCCAACAGAGAUGAAGCCAGAGACGACGACCGCCCUGUGAGGAGAAGAAACUUUAUUGAGAUUUUACCGGAUGCACUGAAUUGGUGCUUCAACGACAUCAAGCAGAUUCAGACAGGAUGGACCAGAGAUGACGGGAGGCAGAUCCAGGACCAGUGCAUGACUCGUGAGACCAUGCAAUUAACACAAGAGCCAUCUCUCCAAGACCCCCGAUCUUAUGAAAGAUCAGAUCAAUAACCAAAUGAAAAGGUUUCUCUGGAUCUGGAGCUGCAUGUUUCUGAUCUGCUGUUGUCGGCCUCAGCGACCUCCAAAGUCUUCAUGUUCUCUCCUUCCUCUCUACCCUCAACCCAACCAGAAGGUUUUUAAAACUUCCCAACAACAGGAAGUUUUUUUCCUUCAC